Long non-coding RNA from Sardina pilchardus (European sardine), 597 nucleotides. RefSeq lists it as uncharacterized. The transcript has 3 exons. Lineage: Eukaryota; Metazoa; Chordata; Actinopteri; Clupeiformes; Clupeidae. The record is from RefSeq and is a predicted model, not a curated record.
AGAUUUCAGGAAGCAAGGACAUUGCUAUUGGUUCCCCUUAUGCCUCACCAAAUCCAGUGAAUUCCACCGUAGAGGAUUAUAACAGCCUGGUCACUAUAUUAGUCAUUCAAAUACUGUCUAAGUUGAAUGAUCAAGGGUCACUCUCUGAUGACAUGUUAGACAUAUCUAGAGUGCUAAUUAACAGGCUAAAGACAGAAAGUGAUGCAGCCUUGAGCAUAGGAGAAAAUAUGACCACAUGUGAUGUGAGGAUUAAAAAAGUCUUCAGAGCCAUUUACAGUGAUCUCCUGCAUGAGUUCGGCAGUAAGGACAUUCUCCUGAAGGCGAUGAUGUCAGAGGAUCCUUGUUUUGAGAAAUCUCUGGUCACAUCCCUGGCUCGUGAAUUCAUACAAACCACUGCUGUGCCAAAUCCAAAGGAAGGGGAGUCUAAGAAGCGGAAACUUCGUUUCCUCCCAAAACUUUCAAAAAUCAAGGCCUUUUUUCAUAUCAAGAAAUCAAAGUCAGACAGCAGUAGAAAGGAGCAAUCCAUCAAUGUGGAUCAGAACUUGGAACCGACAUCUUCUCGUGUUGGUCCAGGCUGCUUCCCUUGGGCCACAUCAG